UACGUAGGGGGCAAGCGUUGUCCGGAAUCAUUGGGCGUAAAGAGCGUGUAGGCGGCCCGAUAAGUCCGCUGUGAAAGCCCUGGGCUCAACCCAGGAAGUGCAUUCGAAACUGGCGCGCUUGAAUAUGGAAGAGGGUCGCGGAAUUCCCGGUGUAGAGGUGAAAUUCGUAGAUAUCGGGAGGAACACCAGUGGCGAAGGCGGCGACCUGGGCCAAUAUUGACGCUGAGGUGCGAAAGCGUGGGGAGCAAACAGG
RNAcentral lists this ribosomal RNA (253 nucleotides) under uncultured bacterium. RNAcentral's name for it is "partial 16S ribosomal RNA". It matches the Rfam family "Bacterial small subunit ribosomal RNA", at positions 524 to 776 of the family's 1533-position model. The record is from RNAcentral.